This 460-nucleotide ribosomal RNA is filed under the name uncultured bacterium. RNAcentral describes it as "partial 16S ribosomal RNA". It matches the Rfam family "Bacterial small subunit ribosomal RNA", at positions 338 to 795 of the family's 1533-position model. The record is from RNAcentral.
CCUACGGGCGGCUGCAGUGAGGAAUAUUGGUCAAUGGACGAGAGUCUGAACCAGCCAAGUAGCGUGAAGGAUGACUGCCCUAUGGGUUGUAAACCUCUUUUAUAAAGGAAUAAAACGAGGCACGUGUGCCCUUUUGCAUGUACUUUAUGAAUAAGGAUCGGCUAACUCCGUGCCAGCAGCCGCGGUAAUACGGAGGAUCCGAGCGUUAUCCGGAUUUAUUGGGUUUAAAGGGUGCGUAGAUGGGUUGUUAAGUCAGUUGUGAAAGUUUGCGGCUCAACCGUAAAAUUGCAAUUGAUACUGGCAGUCUUGAGUACAGUUGAGGUAGGCGGAAUUCGUGGUGUAGCGGUGAAAUGCUUAGAUAUCACGAAGAACCCCGAUUGCGAAGGCAGCUUACUAACCUGUGACUGACAUUGAUGCUCGAAAGUGUGGGUAUCAAACAGGAUUAGAUACCCGGGUAGUC